Long non-coding RNA from Esox lucius (northern pike), 493 nucleotides. Lineage: Eukaryota; Metazoa; Chordata; Actinopteri; Esociformes; Esocidae. The record is from Ensembl.
UCACAGCAUCACAAGUGGUUGAGGAAACAGGCACUUCUGGAACUUUCUUUUCUCUGAUGAUAAUUGGCUUCACCGCAAUUGUAGCUGUAAUUUUCCUCACUGGCAUCAUCAUGAAGACAGUUAAAUUCAGGGGAACACAGCAAGGAGAGGAGCAUGAACUUGACACUGUGGGAUUUUACUCAACUCUACAAAUGCCACAUCCUCACCAUUGACCCUGACAGCAUGGACCAAUGCCCUGGACUCACCUGCCUUGGACAUACAUCUCCAGCCAUACAUUACAUUAAGAUAAUCAAAGCAAUUCAUGGCUACUCAUGCUCUUAAAACAUUUGGUCCUCGACAGCACCCUCUCUUGGAUCAGCGUCAGUCCAACACCCAGGGAGAACCAUCUGGCCUGGGGCUGUAAAAGGGGGCCCUUAAACACAGCCUGGAUUUCACCCCUUGACAAGGAACACAUGUUCUCAAUCAGCCCUCUUCUGGGGAGGAUAAAUGGCCC